Molecule: unclassified non-coding RNA, 222 nt
Filed under: Hevea brasiliensis (rubber tree)
Lineage: Eukaryota; Viridiplantae; Streptophyta; Magnoliopsida; Malpighiales; Euphorbiaceae
Source: RNAcentral
AAAAAAAAAAAAAAAAAAAAAAUUGGGUUGCAUUUUGUUUCAUUUCAUUGACUUGUAGAAACAUCAAUGUCACAAACACUAAAGAGUACAGUUUCAUACCUCAAAUUACAACAUAAUCAACUAUCUAAUCUUGUUCCAAGGAUCCUACAUUUCCUCGUCCAAGCAAGAAUAGUGAAAUUAUAUAAAGAAAAUCACCUUAUUCUUGCACUUCAGUGAUAUGAA